CAACAAAAUAGAAACGAAGAAGUAUAUUCUGUAUGUGGGCACCUGGGAUAUACAGAGUUAGUGGUGCAACCGGCUAUAUUUAUU
This is a regulatory RNA element of Clostridium sp., 84 nucleotides long. It matches the Rfam family "Cyclic di-GMP-II riboswitch aptamer". The record is from Rfam. NCBI's taxonomy places the organism in Bacteria, Bacillati, Bacillota, Clostridia, Eubacteriales, Clostridiaceae.